This is a long non-coding RNA of Musa acuminata AAA Group (dessert banana), 500 nucleotides long. RefSeq lists it as uncharacterized. NCBI's taxonomy places the organism in Eukaryota, Viridiplantae, Streptophyta, Magnoliopsida, Zingiberales, Musaceae. The transcript has 3 exons. The record is from RefSeq and is a predicted model, not a curated record.
GCCAACCUGGUUCGAGGCGGAAUUCGAAUUGAUACGCCAGGAAGCAGGAGAUAAGUUCCUUCCCUCGAUUCCUCCCAUUCUUCCUUGUCUCUCGGUCUUCGCCCUUUGUUUGGUGGUAUUAUCUUUCUCUCUUUUAUAUAUAUAUAUAUAUAUAUAUAUAUAUAGAGGUGCGGAAGGAGAGGGAGGAACGGUUUUACAGAUAUAUAGAAAGAGAGAGAGAACGAGAGAGAGGUGCUCCUACCGCCAUGAAGGUUACAAGUGCGGUCGCAAUUGCGUCGACGGUGAUCACUGCCGCCGCCUCGUACUCGACUGCGUUGUCCGGCUCGCUCUCCGACUCCAGGGCCCAAGGUCCAAGCCAGGACUCAGCGUCUCAAUCAAAGCAGGAGGAGCAGCCGCAGCCGGGAGAUGGAUUCGCUCCCAGAUUCGACGGCCUGCGGUUCAUCGAGACGCUCAUCACCGCACAUCGAUGAGAUGGAACGAAUAAGAAAGGUGUUCCUUGA